This 465-nucleotide ribosomal RNA is filed under the name uncultured bacterium. Its description in RNAcentral is "partial 16S ribosomal RNA". It matches the Rfam family "Bacterial small subunit ribosomal RNA", at positions 28 to 507 of the family's 1533-position model. The record is from RNAcentral.
GAUGAACGCUGGCGGCGUGCCUAACACAUGCAAGUCGAACGGAAAGGCCCCUUUGGGGGUUCUCUAGUGGCGCAGGGGGGCGUAACACGUGAGUAACCUUCCCUUGACUUCGGGAUAACUUUAGGAAACUGGGGCCAAUACCGGAAAGGGAUCCUAGCUGCAUGGUGGGGGUUGGAAAGCUUCCGCGGUUUUGGAUGGACUUGCGGCGUAUCAGCUUGUUGGUGGGGUAAUGGCUUACCAAGGCUUGGGCGGGUAGCCGGACUGAGGGGGCGACCGGCCACAUAGAGACUGAGGGGCGGCCCAGGCGGCUACGGGUGGCAGAAGUGGGGAAGACUGCACAAUGGGCGCAGGCCUGGUGCAGCAGCGCCGCGGACGGGAUGACGGCCUUAGGGUUGAAGACCGCUUGCAGCAGGAGCGAUGCUUGUGGUGACGGUACCUACAGAAGAAGCACCGGCUAACUACGUG